ACUCCUACGGGAGGCAGCAGUGGGAAUAUUGGACAAUGGGCGGAAGCCUGAUCCAGCAAUGCCGCGUGUGUGAAGAAGGCCUGAGGGUUGUAAAGCACUUUCAGUCGUGAGGAAGAUUAGAAGUUUAAGAGAUAUCUAUGAUGACGUUAGCGACAGAAGAAGCACCGGCUAACUCUGUGCCAGCAGCCGCGGUAAUACAGAGGGUGCGAGCGUUAAUCGGAUUUACUGGGCGUAAAGCGUGCGUAGGCGGCCAUUUAAGUCAAAUGUGAAAUCCCCGCAGCUUAACUUAGGAAUUGGCAUUGCUGAUACUGGAUGGCUAGAGUAUGGGAGAGGAUGGUAGAAUUCCAGGUGUAGCGGUGAAAUGCGUAGAGAUCUGGAGGAAUACCGAUGGCGAAGGCAGCCAUCUGGCCUAAUACUGACGCUGAGGUACGAAAGCAUGGGGAGCAAACAGGAUUAGAUACCCUGGUAGGCUCUG
This 475-nucleotide ribosomal RNA is filed under the name uncultured bacterium. RNAcentral's name for it is "bacterial SSU rRNA". It matches the Rfam family "Bacterial small subunit ribosomal RNA", at positions 335 to 799 of the family's 1533-position model. The record is from RNAcentral.